CUGAAGAUGGGCAGCCGGCGGCCCGGGUCGAGGCUGGGGGACUCGGAGCCGCUGAGGCUGCCGGAGCUCAGGGAGCCGCUCAGGUAGUCUUCUUCCUCCUGUAUCAAAUGAAAACACCCAAAGUCAACCUUACGGGGAACGUUGAUGAAUCCCAGUCAGACCAAGCAGUGCCCUGCCAGAUACAAGAGCUCACAAGGUCAUCACCCUCUCCUAAUAGCCAUCCCAGCAGGAUGGGAAGUCCAGGAACCAGCUGGUCCCACUGCUGAAGCAGGUCAC
Marmota flaviventris (yellow-bellied marmot) is the source of this 276-nucleotide long non-coding RNA. RefSeq lists it as uncharacterized. Lineage: Eukaryota; Metazoa; Chordata; Mammalia; Rodentia; Sciuridae. The record is from RefSeq and is a predicted model, not a curated record.